UCCAGACUCCUACGGGAGGCAGCAGUGGGGAAUAUUGCACAAUGGGGGAAACCCUGAUGCAGCAACGCCGCGUGAGUGAAGAAGUAUUUCGGUAUGUAAAGCUCUAUCAGCAGGGAAGAGAAUGACGGUACCUGACUAAGAAGCCCCGGCUAACUACGUGCCAGCAGCCGCGGUAAUACGUAGGGGGCAAGCGUUAUCCGGAUUUACUGGGUGUAAAGGGAGCGUAGACGGCUGGCCAAGUCUGAAGUGAAAGCCCGGGGCUUAACCCCGGAACGGCUUUGGAAACUGGCCGGCUGGAGUGCUGGAGAGGCAGGCGGAAUUCCUGGUGUAGCGGUGAAAUGCGUAGAUAUUAGGAGGAACACCAGUGGCGAAGGCGGCUUACUGGACUGUAACUGACACUGAGGCACGAAAGCGUGGGGAGCAAACAGGAUUAGAUACCCGAGUAA
This 446-nucleotide ribosomal RNA is filed under the name uncultured bacterium. Its description in RNAcentral is "bacterial SSU rRNA". It matches the Rfam family "Bacterial small subunit ribosomal RNA", at positions 330 to 793 of the family's 1533-position model. The record is from RNAcentral.